RNAcentral lists this ribosomal RNA (589 nucleotides) under uncultured bacterium. RNAcentral's name for it is "partial 16S ribosomal RNA". It matches the Rfam family "Bacterial small subunit ribosomal RNA", at positions 355 to 1376 of the family's 1533-position model. The record is from RNAcentral.
UGGGGAAUUUUGGACAAUGGGCGAAAGCCUGAUCCAGCAAUGCCGCGUGUGUGAAGAAGGCCUUCGGGUUGUAAAGCACUUUUGUCCGGAAAGAAAUCCUUGGCUCUAAUACAGUCGGGGGAUGACGGUACCGGAAGAAUAAGCACCGGCUAACUACGUGCCAGCAGCCGCGGUAAUACGUAGGGUGCAAGCGUUAAUCGGAAUUACUGGGCGUAAAGCGUGCGCAGGCGGUUUGCUAAGACCGAUGUGAAAUCCCCGGGCUCAACCUGGGAACUGCAUUGGUGACCGGCAGGCUAGAGUAUGGCAGAGGGGGGUAGAAUUCCACGUGUAGCAGUGAAAUGCGUAGAGAUGUGGAGGAAUACCGAUGGCGAAGGCAGCCCCCUGGGCCAAUACUGACGCUCAAUGCACGAAAGCGUGGGGAGCAAACAGGAUUAGAUACCCUGGUAGUCCACGCCCUAAACGAUGUCAACUAGUUGUUGGGGAUUCAUUUCCUUAGUAACGUAGCUAACGCGUGAAGUUGACCGCCUGGGGAGUACGGUCGCAAAGAUUAAAAACUCAAAUGAAUUGACGGGGUCAUAGCUGUUUCCUG